GAGCCUUUGCCCAUGUCUUUGGGGAUCAAGUUUUGUUCAUUUGAAAUGACCCAUUUCUGGCUUCUCUUUGGCUUUUGGUCGUUUCAGUGAACUCUUUGCUUUUCCCUUCUUUUUCUUUUCUUUUUCUCAAGCUGUUCGUGUGAGGAUGUUGACAAUGCACUCAUCAAGGGGGAGAUUGCGAACACAAGGUCGAGAAGUACCCUUGUGGUACGUUUUGUGAUGAGUGAUUGUCAACGUGAUCCACGAAUAGGCUGAGUUGGUGACUAACAUUAUCAUGGCGAAAGCUAUAUGUGCGACAUGUCUCUUGGCUUGUGGUGUUCAGCUGUG
This 327-nucleotide long non-coding RNA is filed under the name Sorghum bicolor (sorghum). Its description in RNAcentral is "long non-coding RNA (SBIC_LNC012055)". Lineage: Eukaryota; Viridiplantae; Streptophyta; Magnoliopsida; Poales; Poaceae. The record is from RNAcentral.